GGGGCUGUUUUGGUUUCGACAGGGAUUUUAGGAUAUAGAUGGCAAGUCGUACGCAAUACGUUAAGGCAUCCAAAAAUAAUUGGAAACAAAAUUAAAAACGCAUUAGCUAACUUAGUAGGUGGACAAUCUACUUUAGCCUUUGCUUAAUUUAAAUUAAGUAAUGCAGUUCUUUCUAUUCUUCUCCCAUGAGAAUAGUUAGAGCUUUAUUUAAUGGGAUAUAUCUUAUUUGUGUCUUGAACUUAAGAUGAAUUUUAAAGACUAGUUUAUUAAUAGGAUUUGUUAAUUUGCUUUUUGAUAAAUGAAAUUUAUAAAUUAACUAAACUUGUAGAGGUUUAUAUACCGGGAUUUUUGGACAGGAGUUCGAUUCUCCUCAGCUCCACCA
RNAcentral lists this transfer-messenger RNA (382 nucleotides) under Bacilli. RNAcentral's name for it is "RUG14670 sp902801525 Standard tmRNA". It matches the Rfam family "transfer-messenger RNA". Rfam says of the family: Bacterial tmRNA, also known as 10Sa RNA or SsrA, is named for its dual tRNA and mRNA-like properties. Its role is to liberate the mRNA from a stalled ribosome. RNAcentral also lists the same sequence under 1 other name. The record is from RNAcentral. Lineage: Bacteria; Bacillati; Bacillota.